GGGAGUGCCAUUCCUUCCUCUUCAAUCUUUUAAGGGUUCCCAAAGCAACAUCCCUGAAGGCGUGUAUACUUUAAGAUGGCGGGAACCUGGGCGAGCUGAGGCUGAUUUUGGCCGUUUUGAUGCAAAAACUGUAGUCAGGAAUGUUUACAUCCUCUUCUCCAAAAGUGAAAUACCAUUAGCUCAAGAAAAUCAAGAAGUAAUGGACUUAGUAGACCCAUCCACCCCUCUUCCUCCUUGGUUCACCGAGGAAGAUCUAGCAACUUAUGGAGCUCUCUAUGAGAAAUCUGGAUUUGAUACUGCAAUGAAAGUUCCUUAUAGGUCAUUCAAUGAAGAUUUGGGAAUAAAUGAUCCAAAAGUUGAAAUUCCAGCAC
RNAcentral lists this unclassified non-coding RNA (371 nucleotides) under Hevea brasiliensis (rubber tree). Lineage: Eukaryota; Viridiplantae; Streptophyta; Magnoliopsida; Malpighiales; Euphorbiaceae. The record is from RNAcentral.